UACGGAGGGUGCAAGCGUUGUCCGGAUUUAUUGGGUUUAAAGGGUGCGUAGGUGGUUUGAUAGGUCCGGGGUGAAAGCCCACAGCUCAACUGUGGAACUGCCCUGGAUACUGUCAGACUUGAGGGUAGACGAGGUUGGCGGAAUAGAAGGUGUAGCGGUGAAAUGCAUAGAUACCUUCUAGAACCCCGAUUGCGUAGGCAGCUGACUAGGCUACACCUGACACUGAGACACGAAAGCGUGGGGAGCGAACAGG
RNAcentral lists this ribosomal RNA (253 nucleotides) under uncultured bacterium. RNAcentral's name for it is "partial 16S ribosomal RNA". It matches the Rfam family "Bacterial small subunit ribosomal RNA", at positions 524 to 776 of the family's 1533-position model. The record is from RNAcentral.